CCUGUGUGCCUGCAUGCAGCCUGUGUGCAAUCUGUGUGCAUCCUGUGUGCUGGAGCAGCGGCUGGUGAUUAGAAGUCCCGGCUAUUUUCUGGGGUCAACAGCAGAUCCAAGAUCAUCUCAGCAACUCUCUGCCUGAAAACAAGCUCUGGGAGGGCACCGCCCAGGUCACCUCCGGCUUCUGGAGCAAUGGUGCUGGAAGGGCUCAACCCCCGGACCCAGGCUUCGGGAUCCAUUAAAACGUGAAGUCACCUGCGCCCUGAGCAGGCGCUGUUGCAGGAGAGCGCCUUGGCCAUGGCCCCCAGCGGACACCCCGCCAGGCUCUUCCAGCUCCGCUCAUGAGGGGAAAGUUCAAAGCCAAACAGAGUUGUUUCCUCUGCUGCCCGCGUGCACUCUCUGGGGACCUAAUCACAGCGCCCCUGCCCCAAGCAUCUACCAUCACUCCGCAAACACUCUUUNNNNNNNNNNNNNNNNNNNNNNNNNNNGGCUCCAGCUUUCUACCUGCUCCACAGUCUGAAUCUUGGCAAUUUGGGGUUUGCAACGAAGGUGCUGACAGGUGCUUACCACACCUGAGUCGUCCGUCAGGCAGCUGCUCAAGUCACCUUGGGGCUUCUGCCCAUCGCUGCAGCCAUCCUGUCCCCUUGAUGCUUUGUGGUCAUUGUCAUGGGGGCCAAAUGCAGCGCCGAGGGGACUGCUGUGCAAGUCAGGACUGGUCAGUAUGGGGCAUCGACCUGGAUGCUUGGGUUCAGGAGCUUGGAGCCUUUGCUACCACUGGGGCCACCUCGCAGGGAACACAGGGCUGUCAGUCAACGUGUGAGCAGAGCUGGCACCUGGCCUUAAACCCAGUCUCGGUCUCAGACCCAGGGCUAAGAAAGGCAGACACUUGGUUGGUUCAGCUGAGUCUCUGGGAAAAAACGGUCCCCACAGCUGCACAGAAUUAUAAAAUAAAUGCUUUAAAUUUUUCAGAUAUAAAAUUUAAAUUGCCUUCCUGCCAUGAGUCAAGAUUAAGGAUUGAAUAUUGCUAA
This 1022-nucleotide long non-coding RNA is filed under the name Sus scrofa (pig). RNAcentral's name for it is "lncRNA (ENSSSCG00005007300.1)". The record is from RNAcentral. Lineage: Eukaryota; Metazoa; Chordata; Mammalia; Artiodactyla; Suidae.